Molecule: long non-coding RNA, 508 nt
Organism: Herpailurus yagouaroundi (jaguarundi)
Lineage: Eukaryota; Metazoa; Chordata; Mammalia; Carnivora; Felidae
Exons: 3
Source: RefSeq, a predicted model, not a curated record
AGACAGCGGUAGGGGAGAGCCGCGCGUGCCAAACGCCCUCCUCCCACCCCCUCCCACGACUCCAUAGUUCCGGAGUCAUCACGCCCUCCCGCAGAAAACCCUAGCCACACCCCCGAGCAAAGGUCUCCGCCCAAACUCGGGGGGUUCGGGUAGUGAAGAGGUUGUCCUGCUCCUAUAUUCGUGUUUCAACCAAAUGGCAUCUUUUUCCUCAGACACCCAAAAAGCCUCCUCCCUUGCAGCAAGUUUAAAAAGAAACUUUGACGUGCUUGUAACUAAUGCGUCUGGAAAGUGGAUUUAACGAGAGGGAGGUGUUUGGAAAUCUGCAUUUUCACAACUGCUGCAGGUGAUUCUUGUGCACGCUUUGGUUUCCAGAUCACUCCCCCAAGCAGUCCACACCUACUCUAGUCACAGGCGGCCAAUCCUUCUCCAGCCACCUUUGCGGCAACCUGUCUGUUGGCCAAAUUCUCUCCUACUCCAGAAGCCAUGGCUGAUACAGCUGCUCAAUGGA